AGAGUUUGAUCCUGGCUCAGAUUGAACGCUGGCGGCAGGCCUAACACAUGCAAGUCGAACGGUAACAGGAAACAGCUUGCUGUUUCGCUGACGAGUGGCGGACGGGUGAGUAAUGUCUGGGAAACUGCCUGAUGGAGGGGGAUAACUACUGGAAACGGUAGCUAAUACCGCAUAACGUCGCAAGACCAAAGAGGGGGACCUUCGGGCCUCUUGCCAUCGGAUGUGCCCAGAUGGGAUUAGCUAGUAGGUGGGGUAACGGCUCACCUAGGCGACGAUCCCUAGCUGGUCUGAGAGGAUGACCAGCCACACUGGAACUGAGACACGGUCCAGACUCCUACGGGAGGCAGCAGUGGGGAAUAUUGCACAAUGGGCGCAAGCCUGAUGCAGCCAUGCCGCGUGUAUGAAGAAGGCCUUCGGGUUGUAA
Molecule: ribosomal RNA, 424 nt
Filed under: uncultured bacterium
Lineage: Bacteria
Description: bacterial SSU rRNA
Rfam family: Bacterial small subunit ribosomal RNA
Source: RNAcentral